This 442-nucleotide ribosomal RNA is filed under the name Mopalia retifera. RNAcentral describes it as "partial 16S ribosomal RNA". It matches the Rfam family "Bacterial large subunit ribosomal RNA", at positions 1936 to 2597 of the family's 2925-position model. Lineage: Eukaryota; Metazoa; Mollusca; Polyplacophora; Chitonida; Mopaliidae. The record is from RNAcentral.
GUACCCUGACUGUGCUAAGGUAGUAUAAUCACUUGUUUUUUAAUUGAAAGCUUGUAUGAAUGGCUUGACGCAGGUAAAGCUGUCUCUUUUAUAUUAAAUAAAAAUUAAUCUUUAAGUGCAGAAGCUUAAAUAAAACCAAAAGACGAAAAGACCCUAUCGAGCUUAAAAAUUACAAUUAAAUUAAAUUUGUAGAAAAAUAAUUUUUAAUUAAUUUUUUUUGUUGGGGCGACAAAAGAACAAAUAAAGCUUCUUUUUAUUACCUAAAUUUAUAAAUUUAUAGAUCCAUAAUUUAUGACUAAAAGAAAUAGCUACCGUAGGGAUAACAGCGUUAUUUUUUCAAAGAGUUCUUAUCGAAGAAAAAGUUUGCGACCUCGAUGUUGGAUUAAAGUAACUUUUAAGUGCAGAAGCUUAAAAAGUGGGUCUGUUCGACCCUUAAACCUUU